CCCUUCGGGAGCCUGAACAGGUGCUGCAUGGCUGUCGUCAGCUCGUGUCGUGAGAUGUCCGGUUAAGUCCGGUAACGAGCGCAACCCUUGCCGUAUGUUACAAGUGUCAUACGGGACUGCCGGUAUCAAGCCGGAGGAAGGUGGGGAUGACGUCAAGUCAGCAUGGCCUUUAUAUCCGGGGCUACACACACGCUACAAUGGUCAGUACAAUAGGUUGUAAAGCCGCGAGGUGGAGCCAAUCCAUAAAGCUGGCCUCAGUUCAGAUUGCAGGCUGCAACUCGCCUGCAUGAAGUUGGAGUUGCUAGUAACCGCGCGUCAGCCAUAGUGCGGUGAAUACGUUCCCGGGCCUU
This 350-nucleotide ribosomal RNA is filed under the name uncultured Anaerolineaceae bacterium. RNAcentral describes it as "bacterial SSU rRNA". It matches the Rfam family "Bacterial small subunit ribosomal RNA", at positions 1017 to 1382 of the family's 1533-position model. The record is from RNAcentral. Lineage: Bacteria; Bacillati; Chloroflexota; Anaerolineae; Anaerolineales; Anaerolineaceae.